RNAcentral lists this ribosomal RNA (274 nucleotides) under uncultured bacterium. Its description in RNAcentral is "partial 16S ribosomal RNA". It matches the Rfam family "Bacterial small subunit ribosomal RNA", at positions 523 to 796 of the family's 1533-position model. The record is from RNAcentral.
AUACGGAGGGUGCAAGCGUUAAUCGGAAUUACUGGGCGUAAAGCGCGCGUAGGCGGAUGAUUAAGUCAGUUGUGAAAGCCCUGGGCUCAACCUAGGAACUGCAUCUGAUACUGGUCGUCUAGAGUUUAAGAGAGGGAAGUGGAAUUCCAGGUGUAGCAGUGAAAUGCGUAGAUAUCUGGAGGAACAUCAGUGGCGAAGGCGACUUCCUGGCUUAAAACUGACGCUGAGGUGCGAAAGCGUGGGUAGCGAACGGGAUUAGAAACCCUAGUAGUCC